UCUUCGGCAAUGGACGAAAGUCUGACCGAGCAACGCCGCGUGAGUGAAGAAGGUUUUCGGAUUGUAAAACUCUGUUGUUAGAGAAGAAUGUUGAUUAGUGUGGAAAAUUAAUCAAGUGACGGUAUCUAACCAGAAAGGGACGGCUAACUACGUGCUAGCAGCUGCGGUAAUACGUAGGUCCCGAGCGUUGUCCUGAUUUAUUGGGCGUAAAGCGAGCGCAGGUGGUUUAAUAAGUCAGAUGUAAAAGGCAGUGGCUCAACCAUUGUGUGCAUUGGACACUGUUAGACUUGAGUGCAGUAGAGGAGAGUGGAAUUCCAUGUGUAGCGGUGAAAUGCGUAGAUAUAUGGAGGAACACCGGUGGCGAAAGCGGCUCUCUGGACUGUCACUGACACUGAGGCUCGAAAGCGUGGGUAGCAAACAGG
This 422-nucleotide ribosomal RNA is filed under the name uncultured bacterium. RNAcentral's name for it is "bacterial SSU rRNA". It matches the Rfam family "Bacterial small subunit ribosomal RNA", at positions 362 to 776 of the family's 1533-position model. The record is from RNAcentral.